GUCAGUUCGUCCCUUCCAAUUUGAACCAGAGCGGAAAAGUGAAGAGCAGGACAGCACUGUCGGUCGUUCAGAAGACGAGCAGCAAAGGCGAAAUGCAGAGCAAGAAAUACCUGAUGAGGCAAGAGUUGGGCUAAACUUCUGGUGUACUUGCGGCAAGAGCAUCUCGAUGACAACGGAGCGAGAGAGCGUAUGUUGUCGAGAACUCAGGUUUUUGUCAGCAGAUCUUCAAGUGAGAACACAAGGCUCAGGAAGGCCAUGCAUGCAUGAAGAGCUAGAGGAGGAACACUAGCAGCCGAUGGUAAGGAUGUCCCCAAGCACGCGAUCGGAACUCAGGCAGAUCGGGCCAUUUUUCAGAGGAUCGGAAUCAGGUGAAAAGGACAGGAUUCGGUGGAAGAUUCUCCCUCCACUUCCUCUUCAUGGAUAUCAGGGUUUGCUUGAUGGGAUCGAGGUGGUUGCUGGGGUUCUGGUGGGGGUCCCUCGGUGUCUGAGCUGAGGGACAUUCUGUUGGAUGCCCCUUCACUGCUAGACUGGGACUGAACAGUAGGCUUUUGAUUUGUCCUGUCAUGGUUUUGACCUAGGAAGACAAACAAAGAUUAGUUCAAUUACUGUACAACGAGUCUUAGGGAGAUUUUUUUUUUCAUGAGUAAUUCAUUUCAUUUGACUAACACACCUAUGAUCGAGAGACUUGUGGGUAAUGACAGCAAGGACUACAAGUGUGUAAUUUGGAGGAACCAACCAAGUGGUGCUUUGUUAUUGGACUUCUAUGUUUGUCACCGAUUUUCCAUAAAAAGCACCAUGCUCAAGCAAAAGUUUUAAUUUAAAGAUUACUUGGAAGAACGUUGACUCAUCCUGGCAAAAGGACGCGUAUGCCUUCGCUUUUACUAUCAACCAAGGUGAUCGCUGUCUGUUGUGGCAGUGAUCCCUGAACCAGUCAGUGGACCAAGGCAAAAUGGCUUUUGGGAUA
This is a long non-coding RNA of Corythoichthys intestinalis (scribbled pipefish), 964 nucleotides long. RefSeq lists it as uncharacterized. The record is from RefSeq and is a predicted model, not a curated record. Lineage: Eukaryota; Metazoa; Chordata; Actinopteri; Syngnathiformes; Syngnathidae. The transcript has 3 exons.